CCCGUGGUGCCGUCCAGCGGCUAAGUGCCGCCGGGACAACAGGUCUACCCCGUGGUGCCGUCCAGCGGCUAAGUGCCGCCGGGACAACAGGUCUACCCCAGGGCCGGACGCCCGGCCGAGGGGCGGAGAAGGAAGGCCCGCUCCGUCCCUCACCGGCCCGAGGAGACCCGGUGCACCCGGCACCCGCCAGCACGGACGGGAGGGCUCGGCCCGGGCCGGCAGGAGCAGCCGCGCGGGC
This is a long non-coding RNA of Haemorhous mexicanus (house finch), 238 nucleotides long. RefSeq lists it as uncharacterized. Lineage: Eukaryota; Metazoa; Chordata; Aves; Passeriformes; Fringillidae. The record is from RefSeq and is a predicted model, not a curated record. The transcript is spliced from 2 exons.